GCAAAACUCACCAGCUAAAGGUGUGGUCACCAAGUACUGGAAAACCCUUGCCUCUAUCUCAUCUAUUAACCCUUCCUUCCAGUUCCAGCCUCCUAAUUCUCAACUCACCAGCUAAAAAUAGGGUCACCAAGCUGUAGAAAACCCUUGCCUAUCUCGUCUAGUGCAACCCUUGCUUCCAUCCUCUUCAUUCUCAUGUAUACCUGACCUGUUUCGCAGUUAACGCCUCGGUAAUAUCAAGUUUAAUCAUUCGUCCCUUUGAGGCUAUAUGUUCUCUUUGACGCCAGCAUGGCACUCUCAGUGCUAUCUUUCAAAAAUAGAUCAAGAAAGAAAGAAACAAGGCAGCAGGUACCUCAUGUAUAUUGAUCACCAGCGUAUUUAUCAGAACUUGACUGACCAGCAACGGCAUAAAAUAUAAAGUCAGUCUUUCCUUGCGUAAUUCUCCACAAUGGUCUUCUGGGUAUUGUAAAAUCAUUAAUUUUGCAUCCUGGUAAUUUUGCCAUCAUAGCCAUAAGCCAGCUCCGGCACUUUCCUGAGGCAGGUUGUGUUCACACUUGGUGCUUCGGAAUUGCGAAAAGAUUGAGGUUGGAUCUUGAGCUUUUAAUAUUGCAUUAGGAGAGUGGUCAAAAGUCUAGAUGAUUAUUCAAAACUGUGUUCACACUGCUUCGAAUUUUCAAUAUUAGGAGUGGUCAAAAGUCUAGAUGAUUAUUCAAAACUGUGUUCACACUGCUUCGAAUUUUAAUUACUGAAAUCAGCAUACAUUGUAUCGAUAUGAGGAACAUCGAGUUGAUUAUUUAAAGGGGUGUCUUCACACCUUUAAAUAUUUUUUAAAUCUGAAUGCUCAGAACUGAUUUUGUGGGCAUCAAACAUGAUGGUUGUGUUAGGAAAAUUGGACAGACAUUUGAUA
Molecule: long non-coding RNA, 904 nt
Organism: Diospyros lotus (date-plum)
Lineage: Eukaryota; Viridiplantae; Streptophyta; Magnoliopsida; Ericales; Ebenaceae
Exons: 3
Source: RefSeq, a predicted model, not a curated record